AGUGAACGCUGGCGGUAGGCCUAACACAUGCAAGUCGAACGGCAGCACAGUAAGAGCUUGCUCUUACGGGUGGCGAGUGGCGGACGGGUGAGGAAUACAUCGGAAUCUACUUUUUCGUGGGGGAUAACGUAGGGAAACUUACGCUAAUACCGCAUACGACCUACGGGUGAAAGCAGGGGAUCUUCGGACCUUGCGCGAUUGAAUGAGCCGAUGUCGGAUUAGCUAGUUGGCGGGGUAAAGGCCCACCAAGGCGACGAUCCGUAGCUGGCCUGAGAGGAUGAUCCGCCACACUGGAACUGAGACACGGUCCAAACUCCUACGGGAGGCAGGAGUUGGGAAUCUUGGACAAUGGGCGCAAGCCUGAUCCGGCCAUACCGCGUGAGUGAAGAAGGCCUUCGGGUUGUAAAGCCCUUUUGUUGGGAAAGAAAAGCAGCAGGUUAAUACCCCGCUGUUCUGACGGUACCCAAAGAAUAAGCACCGGCUAACUUCGUG
RNAcentral lists this ribosomal RNA (492 nucleotides) under uncultured bacterium. RNAcentral's name for it is "partial 16S ribosomal RNA". It matches the Rfam family "Bacterial small subunit ribosomal RNA", at positions 29 to 507 of the family's 1533-position model. The record is from RNAcentral.